Oncorhynchus mykiss (rainbow trout) is the source of this 2683-nucleotide long non-coding RNA. Lineage: Eukaryota; Metazoa; Chordata; Actinopteri; Salmoniformes; Salmonidae. The record is from Ensembl.
AUGGGGUACUAUAAACCCACAACACAGUGCUGUGUCAUUAUUAGACCAGGUGAUGGGAUAGAGAGAUGGAGGGGAGGUGGGGGUAAAAUGGGGUACUAUAAACCCACAACACAGUGCUGUGUAAUUAUUAGACCAGGUGAUGGGAUAGAGAGAUGGAGGGGAGGUGGGGGUAAAAUGGGGUACUAUAAACCCACAACACAGUGCUGUGUCAUUAUUAGACCAGGUGAUGGGAUAGAGAGAGAUGGAGGGGAGGUGGGGGUACUAUAAACCCACAACACAGUGCUGUGUCAUUAUUGGACCAGGUGAUGGGAAAGAGAGAGAUGGAGGGGAGUAGUUGUGUGUGAAUGAUGCGUAGUCGGCAGCAUGCUAAACAGCGAGGACGUUGAUGUGUGGAUUAGAUCAUGAUGGUUGUGAUUGUCAUCGUUUAUCACUCAAAGCCAAAGGUUCAGAUGUUCCCGGGGUUUUCCAUCUGUGUGUGCAGUCAGAUUUUUACAGAGAAUAACUUAUUAUGGUUAGAGGACAGAGAGACUGCUUCCCAAACAAACCCCUAUUCCCAAUAGAGGGCCCUAUACGCCUCUGGUCUACAGUAGUGCACUAUAUAGGGAAUAGGGUGCCAUAGGGCCCUGUUCAAAGUAGUGCACUAUAUAGGGAAUAGGGUGCCAUAGGGCCCUGUUCAAAGUAGUGCACUAUAUAGGGAAUAGGGUGCCAUAGGGCCCUGUUCAAAGGAGUGCACUAUGUAGGGAAUAGGGUGCCAUAGGGCCCUGUUCAAAGUAGUGCACUAUAUAGGGAAUAGGGUGCCAUAGGGCCCUGUUCAAAGUAGUGCACUAUAUAGGGAAUAUGGUGCCAUAGGGCCCUGUUCAAAGUAGUGCACUAUGUAGUGAAUAGGGUGCCAUAGGGCCCUGUUCAAAGGAGUGCACUAUGUAGGAAAUAGGGUGCCAUUUUGGAGGCAUGUAGUCUUUUUCUCCAUGGAGGGUUUACUGUUGAAACCAUCAUCUAGUCCCUUUAGUCAAAACCCUUUAUAUAGAUAUAGGUUAUCCCAUAGUAAUAAUAAUGAUACUGGGACAGAUGUUGUUUUUAUAGAAAUUACAGUAUAUCCAUUGAUAUAGUUGCUGAAUUUUAUAUUAUGGGAGAGAAUUUAAAAAAAUAUAAAAAAUGUCUAUUUUACCUUUUGUGUUUCGUUUUUUUUUUCUGUCCAGAAAUUAUACGACUAUGAUUAUUUGUACCCGAUGAAAAAUGAAAACUGAACAAACAAAAAAAAAAUAUAUAUAUAUAUAUAUAUAUAUACCAACAAUGUAUUAAUGGAGACGUUUGAGCUGUGCAACGAAGGUGUUCUCUGAAAACACAAAAUACACGACUGUAAUGUUUUAGUUGUAGGCUACAACACCAAGGGUUUGGGGAAAAAGCUUUUCUCGUGUUCUCUAUGGAGUCGUCCUAUCCAGAUGGAUCAUGACACUCUACAAGUAAUGCAAUCAUAAUGUACAUACUGUCAUGGCAUUUUUUUUGGGGGGGGGGGGGUCAGCUGUACUAUUUUGCCGACACACACACAGCCUGUACACGGUCUUCACUACUACACGGCUGUGAAACAUGUCAGUGUCCUAUACGCUGUUGAUGUUUGUUAGUUAGGCUUUUUGUUUUUGUUUACAUUGACUUGUCUUUCAUUUGGGUUUUGAUAUCAUUUGUAAUGUGACCUCCUUUGUAAUGUUAUUUUCUAGAACUCAGCCUUUACACUUUGAAAAAAAAACUGUUUGAUUAAUUAGAAAUAUAUAUGACUUGUGAGAAAAAAAAAGAUGAGGUUUAUGUAAAUAUGAAACAUGAAGCUGUUGUUGAUUUACAGUGCUCCAGGGGCUGAGAGAGGAAACGCCCAGCUCUCCUCACGCAGCUAAACACUUCCUUACACCCCUCUUUUCUUCCUGAUAUCCCCCCUCCCUCCCUCCUUUCCUCCCUCCUUUCCUCCCCCCUCCCUCCCUCCCUCCUUUCCUCCCUCCUUCCCCCCCCCCCCUCCUUUCCUCCUUCCUUUCCUCCCCCCUCCCUCCCUCCUUUCCUCCCCCCUCCCUCCCUCCUUUCCUCCCCCCUCCCUCCCUCCUUUCCUCCCUCCUUUCUUCCUACACCUUGUUUACAAAUGAACCUGAUCAGAGGUGUUUGUUACAUAUCUCAGUUUUGUAUUUAUGAGAAGAAGAAAAAAUAUUCAGAAAUGCAACCCAUGAAAAAGGCAGUGGCAGCUGCAGGUUGUGGGAUUUAGCCCCAUCCUGCAGGUUCUGGGGUUAAGUCCCAUCCUGUAGGCAGGUUGUGGGGUUUAGCCCCAUCCUGCAGAUUCUGGGGGUUAAGUCUCAUCCAGUCUGCAGGUUGUGGGGUUUAGCCCCAUCCUGCAUAUCCUGGGGGUUAAGUCUCAUCCAGUCUGCAGGUUGUGGGGUUUAGCACCAUCCUGCAGAUUCUAGGGGUUAAGUCCCUGGCCUGUGUUUGCUGAACCAUCAGUGGGCAUGGCAACACGUAUCCUGAAUACACCACCGCGUGUCUCUGUCCCUACCCUCUACAUCCUCUGCUUCCAUAGGUGUUGUGAUGAGAUACCCCCUCCCCUGUCCUUGUAUGUGCAUGCACUAUGGUUCUUCCACUUAACAAUAACAAUCAAUAAAGUUUGUCAAGAUAAGCAGACUGUCUGGGCUCUACUAUAUUAUCACUCUCUUUU